ACCCGCACAAUCAGUGGAGCAUGUGGUUAAUUCGUUGGUACACGAAGAACCUCACCAGGGUUUGACAUGCUAGAAAAUCUUUCGAAAGUUUAGAUGUGCCUUAGGGAAUCUAGACACAGUUGGUGCAUGGCUGUCGUCAGCUCGUGUUGUGAAAUGUUGGGUUAAGUCCCGCAACGAGCGCAACCCUUAUCCUUUGUUGCCAGCGGUCCGGCCGGGAACUCAAAGGAGACUGCCAGUGAUAAACUGGAGGAAGGUGGGGAUGACGUCAAGUCAUCAUGGCCCUUACGACCAGGGCUACACACGUGCUACAAUGGCGCAUACAAAGAGAAGCGACCUCGCGAGAGCAAGCGGACCUCAUAAAGUGCGUCGUAGUCCGGAUUGGAGUCUGCAACUCGACUCCAUGAAGUCGGAAUCGCUAGUAAUCGUGGAUCAGAAUGCCACGGUGAAUACGUUCCCGGGCCUU
RNAcentral lists this ribosomal RNA (463 nucleotides) under uncultured Enterobacteriaceae bacterium. RNAcentral's name for it is "bacterial SSU rRNA". It matches the Rfam family "Bacterial small subunit ribosomal RNA", at positions 919 to 1382 of the family's 1533-position model. Lineage: Bacteria; Pseudomonadati; Pseudomonadota; Gammaproteobacteria; Enterobacterales; Enterobacteriaceae. The record is from RNAcentral.